Drosophila persimilis is the source of this 738-nucleotide long non-coding RNA. RefSeq lists it as uncharacterized. Lineage: Eukaryota; Metazoa; Arthropoda; Insecta; Diptera; Drosophilidae. The transcript is spliced from 3 exons. The record is from RefSeq and is a predicted model, not a curated record.
UCCCGAAUCAUCCUGCCAUGUAUAACAUUGGAGACAAUAUCGUAAUUAUCAUUUGUUAUAGUAUUAUGUACUUCCUUGUACUUAUGCUCGACAAUGUUCGUGGAGGCCUACGGAUCUGUUCGAUCUGAUCAGUUAUGUCCAUCAAAGCACAAACAUACAUUUCUUUGUAUUUGUAUAUCUGAACCCUUAUUGAACUUCCCUGAACUACACAGAAGACAAAACUAAACGAACAACAUAACCCUAUUAUACUUAUUUUCGAUGGCAGUGAUUAUACCCGAUGCAUCUGAAAAUAUCGAGCCACAGACUGACGUGGCUUCCAGUGCCUCUGUCCCCAUGAUGACCAUGAUGUCACCAGCUGCAGAGGAAAUCAUUGUGGCGGAAAUUGAGCCACCGCUUCGGCUGCCGCUUCCACUUCGGCGCAGCGAACGCAUCAAGUCUGCCCAAAAAAAGAAGCAGCGCAAACUGAAGACGCAUCCUAUGAUUCUUCGAAGCCAUUUGGCUCGUCAAAAUAAAGUCAAAAACAUCGCUGCUCGUAAGAUUCGCAAGAGCGGUGUAAAGAAGACACAGAUCACCAAGAAGAAAACAACACACCACAUUUACGUUCAGAUCAGGGGGAAACUUUUCAAGCUCUAACCAAAUCACCAAAAAAAAUCGAUUUGUUCCACAAAAAAUAUGGUAUACAAACACAGUUUAGGCUAAAAUAAACUAUUCUAUUUGUAAUUGAAUAAAUUCCAGUAA